Danio rerio (zebrafish) is the source of this 71-nucleotide non-coding RNA. The record is from Rfam. Lineage: Eukaryota; Metazoa; Chordata; Actinopteri; Cypriniformes; Danionidae.
GCAUUGGUGGUUCGCUGGUAGAAUUCUCGCCUGCCAUGCGGGAGACCCGAGUACGAUUCCUGGCCAAUGCA